GUAGUAUUCCAUCCGUCCCAAAAUUCUUGUCUUACAUUUGUUUAGAUAUGGAUGUAUCUAACACUAAAAUGUAACUAGAUACAUUCGUAUUUAGAAAAAUUUGAGACAAGAAUUUUGGGAUGGAGGGAGUACAAA
Molecule: non-coding RNA, 135 nt
Organism: Triticum aestivum (bread wheat)
Lineage: Eukaryota; Viridiplantae; Streptophyta; Magnoliopsida; Poales; Poaceae
Source: Rfam